This 74-nucleotide microRNA precursor is filed under the name Myotis lucifugus (little brown bat). Its description in RNAcentral is "mir-9193 microRNA precursor family". It matches the Rfam family "mir-9193 microRNA precursor family". Lineage: Eukaryota; Metazoa; Chordata; Mammalia; Chiroptera; Vespertilionidae. The record is from Rfam by way of RNAcentral.
GGGGGGGGGGGGGGAUUCCCUAGCCCAGAUUGCAAGAGGGUGCAGGCCAGGCCGAGGGACCCCACCUGUGCACA